GAGACCCCACAUCUCCACUUGGAGCAUUAGUGGAAGUUGGAGUUGAUUAAAGAAUCAACAAAGACAAGUGAGUGAACUUGCAUUAAAAUAUUUUGGGAUAAAUGCAUAAGUGUUUGAUUGAAUCACCUGAAAUAUUUUAUUGGUCUUUUCUUUAAAAUAUGCAUGGGAACAAGUUUUUGAUGAAACAUUUUUAUGUUGUGAAAUGUGGAAUGUGAUGAAUUCAUGUGUUCCUAUAUUAUGAUGAUAUGUAUGUUAUGCCUUAGAUGAUAAUGUUGUGUGUUAAUUACAACCGAGCUUGUGCGGUGUGGGAGUGCACAUGUCGGUGAUGAUGUGGUGUGGGAGUGUACAUGAUGAUAUUGGCCAUGUGCAGUGUGGGAAUGCACAUGACAGUAUUAGCUAUGUGCAGUGUGGGAGUGCACAUGAUGACCUAGCUAUGUGUAGCUAUGUGCGGUGUGGGAGUGCACAUGAGCUGGUGAGCCGGUAGUUGUAUACAUGUUUACACAUACCAUAAAAAGGUUAGGAAAAAUAUUAUGUGAAUGCAUUGAAUGUUGAAUGUUGAAAUUGUUAAAUGCUUCCAAAUUUAUUUUCAUUGUAGCAAGAAUGGAUUUUCGUUGUAACAAGAAUUCUUCUAAUUUAAUAGCCCUAGUUUUUGCUGCAGUGAGAAACUCUUGGGUGCUUGGGGGCUUGACCUAGCCUUGGUUUUCGCUACAGCAAGAAACUUUCAGGUAGUUCCUACCCAGAAUUUCGAUGCAGGAAAAUUGUAUUCUCACUGCGGCGAGAAACUCUCUACCUUACUUGAAUAUUUGCUAUAGUUUCCACUCUUUAACUUCAUUGUUGGUUAUGGACCUUUCAACACUAAGGGAUUAAGUAAUCAAGGGUUGAAUUAAGGGGUUUUAACAAGAAAUUAAGGUAAAGUAUAUUGUUUUUAACAUAAGUGCAUCAUGCUUUCUAAAACUUUCCUUAUCGUUUGCUUGUUCCAUUCUUAUGUUCACGCACUGGGUUUAUACUCACUUUUUUCAACUUCAUGUUUUCGGAUUCAGAGGCAGUUGGGAUCUAGAUUGAGGUGUUCAUGUAUAUUCGUCUUUUUGGUAG
This 1092-nucleotide long non-coding RNA is filed under the name Theobroma cacao (cacao). RNAcentral describes it as "long non-coding RNA (TCAC_LNC001841)". The record is from RNAcentral. Lineage: Eukaryota; Viridiplantae; Streptophyta; Magnoliopsida; Malvales; Malvaceae.